AGUGAACGCUGGCGGCGGGCCUAAUACAUGCAAGUCGAACGGCAGCAUAGUAAGAUUGCGCUUCUACCGGUGGCGGGUGGCGGACGGGUGACGAAUAGAUCGGCUACCUCUUUUUCUUGGGUGACUUCGGGGAGCAAGUGCUGCUACUACCUCAUAUGUCGAACGGGAGGAUUCAGUGGUGCAAGGCGGCUUUGGCGACAGUUUUAGCCGGAUCCGCGUCGGAUUAGCUAGUUGGUAAGGUAACGGCUUACCAAGGCGACGAUGCGUAGCUGAUCUGAGAGGAUGAUCAGCCACACUGGAACUGAGACACGGUCCAGACUCCUACGGGAGGCAGCAGUAGGGAAUAUUGGGCAAUGGGCGAAAGCCUGACCCAGCAACACCGCGUGAGUGAAGAAGGCCUUCGGGUUGUAAAGCCCUUUUGUUGGGAAAGAAAAGCAGCAGGUUAAUACCCCGCUGUUCUGACGGUACCCAAAGAAUAAGCACCGGCUAACUUCGUG
Molecule: ribosomal RNA, 497 nt
Filed under: uncultured bacterium
Lineage: Bacteria
Description: partial 16S ribosomal RNA
Rfam family: Bacterial small subunit ribosomal RNA
Source: RNAcentral